RNAcentral lists this ribosomal RNA (484 nucleotides) under uncultured bacterium. RNAcentral's name for it is "partial 16S ribosomal RNA". It matches the Rfam family "Bacterial small subunit ribosomal RNA", at positions 28 to 523 of the family's 1533-position model. The record is from RNAcentral.
GAUGAACGCUGGCGGUAUGCUUAACACAUGCAAGUCGAACGAGAACGGAUUAUAGCUUGCUAUAAUUGUCAGCUAAGUGGCGCACGGGUGAGUAAUGUAUAGGUAAUAUGCCUCUUACUAAGGGAUAACAAAUGGAAACGUUUGCUAAUACCUUAUACUCCUUAUUAACAGAAGUUAAUAAGGGAAAGAUUUAUCGGUAAGAGAUUAGCCUGUAUUGUAUCAGUUAGUUGGUGGGGUAAUGGCUUACCAAGACUAUGACACAUAACUGGUUUGAGAGGAUGAUCAGUCAUACUGGGACUGGGACACGGUCCAGACUCCUACGGGAGGCAGCAGUGGGUAAUAUUGCACAAUGGACGAACGUCUGAUGCAGCAACGCCGCGUGGAGGAUGACACAUUUCGGCGCGUAAACUCCUUUUAUAUGAGAAGAUAAUGACGGUAUUAUAUGAAUAAGCACCGGCUAACUCCGUGCCAGCCGCCGCCGUAA